Molecule: ribosomal RNA, 992 nt
Filed under: uncultured Bacteroidales bacterium
Lineage: Bacteria; Pseudomonadati; Bacteroidota; Bacteroidia; Bacteroidales
Description: bacterial SSU rRNA
Rfam family: Bacterial small subunit ribosomal RNA
Source: RNAcentral
GGAAUAUUGGUCAAUGGCCGAAAGGCUGAACCAGCCAAGUCGCGUGAAGGAAGAAGGAUCUAUGGUUUGUAAACUUCUUUUAUGCGGGAUUAAAGUGGGGGACGUGUCCCCCAUUGCAGGUACCGCAUGAAUAAGCAUCGGCUAACUCCGUGCCAGCAGCCGCGGUAAUACGGAGGAUGCGAGCGUUAUCCGGAUUUAUUGGGUUUAAAGGGUGCGUAGGUGGGGAUUUAAGUCAGCGGUGAAAUCUUGUCGCUUAACGAUAACAUUGCCGUUGAAACUGGAUUUCUUGAGUAUGUUUGAAGCAGGCGGAAUGCGUGGUGUAGCGGUGAAAUGCAUAGAUAUCACGCAGAACUCCGACAGCGAAGGCAGCCUGCUAAGCCAUAACUGACGCUGAAGCACGAAAGCGUGGGUAUCAAACAGGAUUAGAUACCCUGGUAGUCCACGCGGUAAACGAUGAUAACUAAGAGUCUGCGAUAGACAGCAGGUUCUACAGCGAAAGCGUUAAGUUAUCCACCUGGGGAGUACGCCGGCAACGGUGAAACUCAAAGGAAUUGACGGGGGCCCGCACAAGCGGAGGAACAUGUGGUUUAAUUCGAUGAUACGCGAGGAACCUUACCCGGGUUUGAAACGCAUUGGACGCGGGGCGAAAGCCCUGUUCCAGUAAUGGUCCAUUGCGAGGUGCUGCAUGGUUGUCGUCAGCUCGUGCCGUGAGGUGUCGGCUUAAGUGCCAUAACGAGCGCAACCCUUACCGUCAGUUGCCAUCAGGUAAAGCUGGGGACUCUGACGGGACUGCCGGCGUAAGCUGCGAGGAAGGUGUGGAUGACGUCAAAUCAGCACGGCCCUUACAUCCGGGGCGACACACGUGUUACAAUGGUGGGGACAGCGGGCUGCAAACUGGCGACAGUGAGCGAAUCCCACAAACCCCAUCUCAGUUCGGAUCGAAGUCUGCAACCCGACUUCGUGAAGCUGGAUUCGCUAGUAAUCGCGCAUCA